This 615-nucleotide ribosomal RNA is filed under the name uncultured fungus. RNAcentral describes it as "eukaryotic LSU rRNA". The stretch from base 204 to 357 matches the Rfam family "5.8S ribosomal RNA". The record is from RNAcentral. Lineage: Eukaryota; Fungi.
AAGUCGUAACAAGGUUUCCGUAGGUGAACCUGCGGAAGGAUCAUUAACGAGUUGCGUUCGGGGUUGUUGCUGGCUCUACUCGAGCAUGUGCACGCCUCGUAUCCACUUCAACCUCACCUGUGCACUUCAGAGGACCGCUCGGUCCUCUUUUACACACAAACCUUUACACUGUCAUAGUAGAACGUUAUGUAUUAAACAAAUACAACUUUCAACAACGGAUCUCUUGGCUCUCGCAUCGAUGAAGAACGCAGCGAAAUGCGAUAAGUAAUGUGAAUUGCAGAAUUCAGUGAAUCAUCGAAUCUUUGAACGCACCUUGCGCUCCUUGGUAUUCCGAGGAGCAUGCCUGUUUGAGUGUCGUGUAACUCUCAAUCCCGUCUGGUUUUGAAUCGGACGUGGAUUGGAUUUGGGAGUCUGCUGUGCCCUUUCGGGUUCGGCUCUCCUUGAAUGCAUUAGCUCGGUCACGUAGUUGCCCGACGGUUCACGGUGUGAUAGUUUAACUUCAUCGCCGUUCUGACCGCUCGGUGCCUGUGCUUGCCGGCUUCUAAUCCGUGUCUUUCAGACGCAUUUACUUUGACGCUUGACCUCAAAUCAGGUAGGAUUACCCGCUGAACUUAA